UGGCGGACGGGUGAGUAACGCGUGGGUAACCUGCCUCAUACAGGGGGAUAACAGUUAGAAAUGACUGCUAAUACCGCAUAAGACCACAGUACCGCAUGGUACAGGGGUAAAAACUCCGGUGGUAUGAGAUGGACCCGUGUCUGAUUAGGUAGUUGGUGGGGUAACGGCCUACCAAGCCGACGAUCAGUAGCCGACCUGAGAGGGUGACCGGCCACAUUGGGACUGAGACACGGCCCAA
This 238-nucleotide ribosomal RNA is filed under the name uncultured bacterium. RNAcentral describes it as "partial 16S ribosomal RNA". It matches the Rfam family "Bacterial small subunit ribosomal RNA", at positions 96 to 334 of the family's 1533-position model. The record is from RNAcentral.